This 468-nucleotide ribosomal RNA is filed under the name uncultured bacterium. Its description in RNAcentral is "partial 16S ribosomal RNA". It matches the Rfam family "Bacterial small subunit ribosomal RNA", at positions 28 to 507 of the family's 1533-position model. The record is from RNAcentral.
GACGAACGCUGGCGGCGUGCUUAACACAUGCAAGUCGAACGGAAAGGCCCUGCUUUUGUGGGGUGCUCGAGUGGCGAACGGGUGAGUAACACGUGAGUAACCUGCCCUUGACUUUGGGAUAACUUCAGGAAACUGGGGCUAAUACCGGAUAGGAGCUCCUGCUGCAUGGUGGGGGUUGGAAAGUUUCGGCGGUUGGGGAUGGACUCGCGGCUUAUCAGCUUGUUGGUUGGGUAGUGGCUUACCAAGGCUUUGACGGGUAGCCGGCCUGAGAGGGUGACCGGCCACAUUGGGACUGAGAUACGGCCCAGACUCCUCCGGGAGGCAGCAGUGGGGAAUAUUGCACAAUGGGCGGAAGCCUGAUGCAGCAACGCCGCGUGCGGGAUGACGGCCUUCGGGUUGUAAACCGCUUUCGCCUGUGACGAAGCGUGAGUGACGGUAAUGGGUAAAGAAGCACCGGCUAACUACGUG